UAUGUACUUCCUCCGUCCGAAAAUACUUGUCAAAAAAUGGAUAUAUCUAGACGUAUUUUAAUUAUAGAUGCAUUCAUUUUUAUUUAUUUGUCCGACAAGUAUUUUCGGACGGAGGGAGUACUAU
This is a non-coding RNA of Triticum aestivum (bread wheat), 124 nucleotides long. The record is from Rfam. NCBI's taxonomy places the organism in Eukaryota, Viridiplantae, Streptophyta, Magnoliopsida, Poales, Poaceae.